Molecule: ribosomal RNA, 503 nt
Filed under: uncultured bacterium
Lineage: Bacteria
Description: partial 16S ribosomal RNA
Rfam family: Bacterial small subunit ribosomal RNA
Source: RNAcentral
GAUGAACGCUAGCGGCAGGCCUAACACAUGCAAGUCGAGGGGUAGCAGGAUUAAGCUUGCUUAAUUGCUGACGACCGGCGCACGGGUGCGUAACGCGUAUGCAACCUACCUUAUACUGGGGUAUAGCCCGGAGAAAUUCGGAUUAAUCCCCCAUAGUACUAAUGAAUCGCAUGGUUUAUUAGUUAAAGCAUUGCGGUAUAAGAUGGGCAUGCGUCCUAUUAGCUAGAUGGUGAGGUAACGGCUCACCAUGGCUACGAUAGGUAGGGGGCCUGAGGGGGGUGUCCCCCACACUGGUACUGAGACACGGACCAGACUCCUACGGGAGGCAGCAGUGAGGAAUAUUGGUCAAUGGGCGCAAGCCUGAACCAUCCAUGCCGCGUGCAGGAAGAAUGCCCUAUGGGUUGUAAACUGCUUUUAUUUGGGAAUAAACCUCUUUACGUGUAGAGAGCUGAAGGUACCAAAUGAAUAAGCACCGGCUAACUCCGUGCCAGCAGCCGCCGUAA